This 784-nucleotide ribosomal RNA is filed under the name Streptomyces sp. Schreyahn_Kolonie_Aster_13. Its description in RNAcentral is "bacterial SSU rRNA". It matches the Rfam family "Bacterial small subunit ribosomal RNA", at positions 47 to 868 of the family's 1533-position model. Lineage: Bacteria; Bacillati; Actinomycetota; Actinomycetes; Kitasatosporales; Streptomycetaceae. The record is from RNAcentral.
UAUAACACAUGCAAGUCGAACGAUGAAGCCUUUCGGGGUGGAUUAGUGGCGAACGGGUGAGUAACACGUGGGCAAUCUGCCCUUCACUCUGGGACAAGCCCUGGAAACGGGGUCUAAUACCGGAUAACACUCUGUCCCGCAUGGGACGGGGUUAAAAGCUCCGGCGGUGAAGGAUGAGCCCGCGGCCUAUCAGCUUGUUGGUGGGGUAAUGGCCUACCAAGGCGACGACGGGUAGCCGGCCUGAGAGGGCGACCGGCCACACUGGGACUGAGACACGGCCCAGACUCCUACGGGAGGCAGCAGUGGGGAAUAUUGCACAAUGGGCGAAAGCCUGAUGCAGCGACGCCGCGUGAGGGAUGACGGCCUUCGGGUUGUAAACCUCUUUCAGCAGGGAAGAAGCGAAAGUGACGGUACCUGCAGAAGAAGCGCCGGCUAACUACGUGCCAGCAGCCGCGGUAAUACGUAGGGCGCAAGCGUUGUCCGGAAUUAUUGGGCGUAAAGAGCUCGUAGGCGGCUUGUCACGUCGGAUGUGAAAGCCCGGGGCUUAACCCCGGGUCUGCAUUCGAUACGGGCUAGCUAGAGUGUGGUAGGGGAGAUCGGAAUUCCUGGUGUAGCGGUGAAAUGCGCAAAUAUCAGGAGGAACACGGUGCGAAGGCGGAUCUCUGGCCAUACCGACGCUGAGAACGAAGCCUGGGGAGCGACAGAUUAAUACCCUGGUAGUCCACGCCGUAACGUUGGAACUAGUUUGCGAUUCCGUCUCGGGCCGAAGCUAACAUUAAGUUCC